CAGCAGGACUUGAUUCUUCUGUCCUACCUUUUAAGAAGCUCAAUCAAAAGUGGGUGCUCUAUAGUAGAUUUUUUUUCAUCAAUUAAUUCUUCAUUUCUUGACAGAAAUUGGAUUAUUAUUUACUUUGAUAUGUAAAAUUCACACUUGCCAAUGCAUCACUGGAUACUAGAGAAAGUAUUUCCAGUCAUCACCUAUUGUUCUACAUGUGUCUGUCCUUCAUCUAAACUACUCUCAGUUGUCAAAUACUAGAGAAGUAUAUUUAUAUUUGUCCUAUAAUGUUAUGUUUAUUUCAUUAGAAUCUUUUUAUAAUUAGGUCUCUAUUGUUGAACAGGUGUAAUUUUGAAAUUAAAUCCAAGCUACAAGGCUCCAGCUUACAAUAAACCCCUCAUGCGAGAGGCCAGACUUCCGGUUCUUGAAAGUGGUUGUAAUCUUCCACACCCACAUUUCAGAUGCAUGUGCUCUAUUAGAGAUUAGCACAAUAACUGUGCCGCUCUGUAUAUUUUCCAGGUUGAAUUGUGACCUUCAACAGAUUAUUGGAUGCAUCAGAUCACUGCCAUCUGAUGAUUUGAUUAAAGCUGAGAUCCCGAAUUGGAGGAAGCUCGAUGAUUUUAUAAUACAAAAGAUUUGGUGGCGAAGAUAGUCAGAUAAAAGUUGAUGUAUAGUUGUAAAAGUUGAUGUAUAUUUGUAUUUGGUGGUUGAAUUUGUUUAAUACUUUGAUUUAGUUAGAUUUGUUAGGUAGUUUGGUUUGGUUGGAUUUGUUAUAAACUUUGGUUUGUAUGGAAAAAUAGUUUAAUGUUGUAGUUGAUAUAGUAAAAGGUUGCAAAGUUAUUAUUUAA
Molecule: long non-coding RNA, 836 nt
Organism: Daucus carota subsp. sativus
Lineage: Eukaryota; Viridiplantae; Streptophyta; Magnoliopsida; Apiales; Apiaceae
Exons: 3
Source: RefSeq, a predicted model, not a curated record